AGGGAUCAUUACAAGUGACCCCGGUCUUACCACCGGGAUGUUCAUAACCCUUUGUUGUCCGACUCUGUUGCCUCCGGGGCGACCCUGCCUUCGGGCGGGGGCUCCGGGUGGACACUUCAAACUCUUGCGUAACUUUGCAGUCUGAGUAAACUUAAUUAAUAAAUUAAAACUUUUAACAACGGAUCUCUUGGUUCUGGCAUCGAUGAAGAACGCAGCGAAAUGCGAUAAGUAAUGUGAAUUGCAGAAUUCAGUGAAUCAUCGAAUCUUUGAACGCACAUUGCGCCCCCUGGUAUUCCGGGGGGCAUGCCUGUUCGAGCGUCAUUUCACCACUCAAGCCUCGCUUGGUAUUGGGCAACGCGGUCCGCCGCGUGCCUCAAAUCGACCGGCUGGGUCUUCUGUCCCCUAAGCGUUGUGGAAACUAUUCGCUAAAGGGUGUUCGGGAGGCUACGCCGUAAAACAACCCCAUUUCUAAGGUUGACCUCGGAUCAGGUAGGGAUACCCGCUGAACUUAAGCAUAUCAAUAAGCGGAGGAAAAGAAACCAACAGGGAUUGCUCUAGUAACGGCGAGUGAAGCAGCAAUAGCUCAAAUUUGAAAUCUGGCGUCUUCGACGUCCGAGUUGUAAUUUGUAGAGGAUGCUUCUGAGUAACCACCGACCUAAGUUCCUUGGAACAGGACGUCAUAGAGGGUGAGAAUCCCGUAUGCGGUCGGAAAGGUGCUCUAUACGUAGCUCCUUCGACGAGUCGAGUUGUUUGGGAAUGCAGCUCUAAAUGGGAGGUAAAUUUCUUCUAAAGCUAAAUAUUGGCCAGAGACCGAUAGCGCACAAGUAGAGUGAUCGAAAGAUGAAAAGCACUUUGGAAAGAGAGUUAAAAAGCACGUGAAAUUGUUAAAAGGGAAGGGAUUGCAACCAGACUUGCUCGCGGUGUUCCGCCGGUCUUCUGACCGGUCUACUCGCCGCGUUGCAGGCCAGCAUCGUCUGGUGCCGCUGGAUAAGACUUGAGGAAUGUAGCUCCCUCGGGAGUGUUAUAGCCUCUUGUGAUGCAGCGAGCGCCGGGCGAGGUCCGCGCUUCGGCUAGGAUGCUGGCGUAAUGGUCGUAAUCCGCC
This 1102-nucleotide ribosomal RNA is filed under the name uncultured Cladosporium. RNAcentral's name for it is "eukaryotic LSU rRNA". The stretch from base 476 to 1102 matches the Rfam family "Eukaryotic large subunit ribosomal RNA", at positions 1 to 649 of the family's 3401-position model. Lineage: Eukaryota; Fungi; Ascomycota; Dothideomycetes; Cladosporiales; Cladosporiaceae. The record is from RNAcentral.